UACAGAGGAUGCAAGCGUUAUCCGGAAUGAUUGGGCGUAAAGAGCUCGUAGGCGGUUCGUCGCGUCGGCUGUGAAAACCCGGAGCUCAACUCCGGGCCUGCAGUCGAUACGGGCGGACUAGAGUUCGGCAGGGGAGACUGGAAUUCCUGGUGUAGCGGUGAAAUGCGCAGAUAUCAGGAGGAACACCGGUGGCGAAGGCGGGUCUCUGGACAUUUCCUGACGCUGAGGCACGAAAGCCAGGGGAGCAAACGGG
RNAcentral lists this ribosomal RNA (253 nucleotides) under uncultured bacterium. RNAcentral's name for it is "partial 16S ribosomal RNA". It matches the Rfam family "Bacterial small subunit ribosomal RNA", at positions 524 to 776 of the family's 1533-position model. The record is from RNAcentral.